RNAcentral lists this ribosomal RNA (773 nucleotides) under Streptococcus anginosus. RNAcentral describes it as "bacterial SSU rRNA". It matches the Rfam family "Bacterial small subunit ribosomal RNA", at positions 28 to 776 of the family's 1533-position model. Lineage: Bacteria; Bacillati; Bacillota; Bacilli; Lactobacillales; Streptococcaceae. The record is from RNAcentral.
GGCGAACGCGGGCGGCGUGCCUAAUACAUGCAAGUAGGACGCACAGUUUAUACCGUAGCUUGCUACACCAUAGACUGUGAGUUGCGAACGGGUGAGUAACGCGUAGGUAACCUACCUAUUAGAGGGGGAUAACUAUUGGAAACGAUAGCUAAUACCGCAUAACAGUAUGUAACACAUGUUAGAUGCUUGAAAGAUGCAAUUGCAUCGCUAGUAGAUGGACCUGCGUUGUAUUAGCUAGUAGGUAGGGUAAAGGCCUACCUAGGCAACGAUACAUAGCCGACCUGAGAGGGUGAUCGGCCACACUGGGACUGAGACACGGCCCAGACUCCUACGGGAGGCAGCAGUAGGGAAUCUUCGGCAAUGGGGGGAACCCUGACCGAGCAACGCCGCGUGAGUGAAGAAGGUUUUCGGAUCGUAAAGCUCUGUUGUUAAGGAAGAACGAGUGUGAGAAUGGAAAGUUCAUGCUGUGACGGUACUUAACCAGAAAGGGACGGCUAACUACGUGCCAGCAGCCGCGGUAAUACGUAGGUCCCGAGCGUUGUCCGGAUUUAUUGGGCGUAAAGCGAGCGCAGGCGGUUAGAAAAGUCUGAAGUGAAAGGCAGUGGCUCAACCAUUGUAGGCUUUGGAAACUGUUUAACUUGAGUGCAGAAGGGGAGAGUGGAAUUCCAUGUGUAGCGGUGAAAUGCGUAGAUAUAUGGAGGAACACCGGUGGCGAAAGCGGCUCUCUGGUCUGUAACUGACGCUGAGGCUCGAAAGCGUGGGGAGCGAACAGG